This 256-nucleotide ribosomal RNA is filed under the name uncultured bacterium. RNAcentral's name for it is "partial 16S ribosomal RNA". It matches the Rfam family "Bacterial small subunit ribosomal RNA", at positions 98 to 354 of the family's 1533-position model. The record is from RNAcentral.
CGGGACGGGUGAGUAACACGUGAGCAACCUGCCUUUCAGAGGGGAAUAACGUUUGGAAACGAACGCUAAUACCGCAUAACAUUGGGAUAUGGCAUCAUGACCCAAUCAAAGAUUUAUCGCUGAAAGAUGGGCUCGCGCCCGAUUAGGUAGUUGGUGAGAUAAUAGCCCACCAAGCCGACGAUCGGUAGCCGGACUGAGAGGUUGAACGGCCACAUUGGGACUGAGACACGGCCCAGACUCCUACGGAAGGCAGCAG